AGGACGAACGCUGGCGGCGUGCUUAACACAUGCAAGUCGAGCGGAAAGGCCCUUCGGGGUACUCGAGCGGCGAACGGGUGAGUAACACGUGAGCAAUCUGCCCCUAGCUUCGGGAUAGCUCCGGGAAACCGGAAUUAAUACCGGAUACGACCACGGCCGACAUCUGCUGUGGUGGAAAGGAUUCCGGCUAAGGAUGGGCUCGCGGCCUAUCAGCUAGUUGGUGGAGUAACGGCCCACAAGGCGACGACGGGUA
RNAcentral lists this ribosomal RNA (253 nucleotides) under uncultured bacterium. RNAcentral describes it as "partial small subunit ribosomal RNA". It matches the Rfam family "Bacterial small subunit ribosomal RNA", at positions 26 to 285 of the family's 1533-position model. The record is from RNAcentral.